This 376-nucleotide ribosomal RNA is filed under the name uncultured organism. RNAcentral's name for it is "partial 16S ribosomal RNA". It matches the Rfam family "Bacterial small subunit ribosomal RNA", at positions 527 to 896 of the family's 1533-position model. The record is from RNAcentral.
GUAGGUGGCAAACGUUUGUCCGAAAUUACUGGGCGUAAAGGGCGAGUAGGCGGGCUGAUAAGUCGGAUGUGAAAUCCUACGGCUCAACCGUAGAACUGCAUUCGAUACUGUCGGCCUUGAGUACUGGAGAGGAAAGCGGAACUCAUGGUGUAGCGGUAAAAUGCGUAGAUAUCAUGAGGAACACCGGUGGCGAAGGCGGCUUUCUGGCCAGAUACUGACGCUGAUCCGCGAAAGCCAGGGUAGCGAACGGGGGAUUAGAUACCCCGGUAGUCCUGGCUGUAAACGAUGGGCACUAGGUGUGGGAAGCAUUGACCCCUUUCCGUGCCGCAGCUAACGCAUUAAGUGCCCCCGCCUGGGAAGUACGAUCGCAAGGUUG